This is a small nucleolar RNA of Cylas formicarius (sweet potato weevil), 105 nucleotides long. RefSeq annotates it as small nucleolar RNA U3. The record is from RefSeq and is a predicted model, not a curated record. Lineage: Eukaryota; Metazoa; Arthropoda; Insecta; Coleoptera; Brentidae. The transcript has a single exon.
CAGAUCAUACUUCACAGGAUCAUUUCUGUAGUAUAUCUUCGCAUACUCUCCCUACCCUUUUGACUUUAGCUGAACCAGCUAAAAGUUUUACCCAUGAUACAUGGU